AUAAUUUGUUAUUAAUUUGAUUUAUAUGUAAAUUUUUGUAUGAAUAUAUAUUAAUUUUAAAAAUUAAUAUAUUUAGCAUAAUCGCAGUAAUUAAUUUUAUUAAUUAAAGAAAUUUAGAAAUAGCAAUAUUAAAAAGUAUAGAUUAAAUUGGUGCCAGCAAUCGCGGUUAUACUAAUUAUACAAAUAAAUUUUGUUAGUAAAAGUUAAAUUGGUAAAUUAUAAAAUUAAAUAAAAUUAAAUUUAUUAAGUGAAAUUUUAAAUUUAAAUUUUUUAUAAGUUGGUAAAUUGAGGCUUAAAAAUUUUAGAAAA
This 309-nucleotide ribosomal RNA is filed under the name Drosophila ambochila. Its description in RNAcentral is "partial 12S ribosomal RNA". Lineage: Eukaryota; Metazoa; Arthropoda; Insecta; Diptera; Drosophilidae. The record is from RNAcentral.